This 402-nucleotide ribosomal RNA is filed under the name bacterium. RNAcentral's name for it is "partial 16S ribosomal RNA". It matches the Rfam family "Bacterial small subunit ribosomal RNA", at positions 355 to 776 of the family's 1533-position model. The record is from RNAcentral.
UGGGGAAUUUUGCACAAUGGGGGAAACCCUGAUGCAGCGACGCCGCGUGAUUUAGAAGGCCUUCGGGUUGUAAAAAUCUUUUUUACGGGAUGAAAAUGACAGUACCGUAAGAAUAAGGUCCGGCUAAAUACGUGCCAGCAGCCGCGGUAAUACGUAUGGACCGAGCGUUGUCCGGAAUCAUUGGGCGUAAAGGGUACGUAGGCGGCCUAGUAAGUUAGAAGUGAAAUAAUAUAGCUCAACUAUAUAAAGCUUUUAAAACUGCUAGGCUUGAGAGAUGGAAGGGAAAGUGGAAUUCCUAGUGUAGCGGUGAAAUGCGCAGAGAUUAGGAAGAAUACCGGUGGCGAAGGCGACUUUCUGGUCAUCAUCUGACGCUGAGGUACGAAAGCGUGGGUAGCAAACAGG